Molecule: long non-coding RNA, 7272 nt
Organism: Marmota monax (woodchuck)
Lineage: Eukaryota; Metazoa; Chordata; Mammalia; Rodentia; Sciuridae
Exons: 2
Source: RefSeq, a predicted model, not a curated record
GUCGCGGGCAGGGUCAGCCUUCGGUGUCCUCCCUCUCUAAGACCCUGAGCGAACCUAGGAAUGUUCCAGCACAGAUACAGCCAGCGCAGGCUGGUUCCCUCCAGUCUUCCUCCCGGAGCCUUGGCGGCCCCCUGCCAAAUGCCACAUGCACAUUCCACCUGCCUGGAAACUGGGCCAGCAGUAAGGUGGAGCCCUCCGGUGUCACAGACAGAGGAACAGACAUUCCACGGCGUUCCUGGCCACGUCCCUCACUUCUUGGCAAACUCUCCUAUCACACUGACCCAGGGCCAGAGAGGGGAGAAGAGGAGCAGGUCAGAGACGAGGCGGGGGAGAGGACUGGACAGGGAGGGGCAGGGCUCACGCCGGACCCCGAUGCAGGGACACGUGGAGUUCAGCAAGGUCCUCCAACCUGGCCCAGGCAGCCGCCUCAGAGGGACUGAGCGGGGAGGGAGGUCCCACCGUCACAGCAGGCUUACUGCUGCAUCCGUGCAUCUGCUGAGCCACCCCACCCAGGCGAUGUCACCUCUCUGUGCCCCACUGUUCCCCUCUGUCUGAUGGGAUUACUGAGGUGCUCAUGUCACCCCCUUUCCCAGGUGCUAACGAUGCUAUCAAGCACAGUGGCUGAUUCGAAGGAAGCAAAUUAAAAAUAAUUAGUAAUAAUCCUCGUAAUAGUGAUAUUGGUGAGUGAUUAAUAGUGGUAGUCAUGAUGAUGCGGGCAGUGAGCUGUAUGGAGCUGUAUGUCCCCUCCUGUACGUAGUCCAUGUGUGUUAUGAAUCCUGCCACAGGCCCUGGAGAAGGCCAUCAAAAAGAUGUGCACUUUAAACACAUAACCAGACUGCAGGAGGAGAAGCUAAGAGAGCUGAGAUUGGCAGAGGAAAAGAGGUUCCCAUUUCCUGCACGUCAGUUAAGGGCGGGGAAAGCUCAUUUCUGAGUUUUCAGGAAAACAGAAGGGCCCAUCCCAGGGCUGGGAAGCCAAGCAGCCUGGGGAGAAGGGUAAAGAAACGUGCAGACGGAUGUGUCUGUUCCCCAGGAUGCUCCAUGCACUCUCGGAUGGGCUCAAGACCAGCCACCAGCCAGUAGCACAAGAGUGAGGAACGGCACCCAGGGCACUCGGGAUGCAGUCAUCAAAUAUCUCACCCUGCAGGUAGGCGGGAAGAUUCCCUUCACCCGUCCUUGUUUCCAAGACUGUCCAGGAUGCGAGGAAGAAGGCUGGCGAAACCAAGCAGCGCAGCUAAGUAGGUCACAUUUAUUGCAAAGCUCUUCUCUGAGCUGCCAAAGCUCACGGAUACCAGAUGGCCCUUUCAGAGAGGCCUGCCUCUGUGACCUGGGACUAAACAAAGAUGAGUGCUUUGGAGAAAGAAUAUACGGAUUGAAAAUUAUUCUUGCUAAAAUGUAAAUGACUGAUAUCAGGAAAGCAAUGGGAGAUACCAGAAAUCGGAGGGAAAGAUUACGGAGCAGACAAAUGGAGAGGUGCAGACCAGAGAAUUCUAUCUGGAAUCAGAAAACCAGAUGUGCUACUUCCCAGCCUCCUUGGUCUCCCGGGAUCUUGAUCUCCUCACCUGUGGAGCUGGGGAAAUGCUUGUAAACUGAGUGACGGAACUGAUGACAAUGAAGGAACAAUAUAAACCACCACCGUUCACGCACAGGCUGCUCUGUGAUUUGGGGAUUUCACUAGGUCCCCAACAACUGGACCAGGGCUUUCAUUUAUUUCCCUUUAAAAAAAAAGUAAUGGAUGCUCAGAUGGAAAUCUGUGAUGUAGGAUUGAAGUCGCGUCCUCCAGUGAGGUUUUCGGGGGUCGGGUGAGCUGGCUGGUGGGGACUGCAGCCGUGCACCAAGUUUCUGAUGUGCCUUGAGUCCAGGGGUGAUUCUCCCCCUUGAGGGAGCAGCCCACAAGCCAUUUGGUGGCUCCCAGGUCCUGGCUGCUGAACGGUGGUGUGGCUUGAGAAGGGUAGCCUGGUGCAGAGCCGUCAUGUCUCGGUGCCCAGCCUGCUCACCUGCAAGAAGGGCUGGGUGACAUAAUCACCCCACGGCUGGGUGACAUAAUCCCCGUCAAGCCCGGGGGCUGUGCUGGGCACACAGUGCUCCACGGCGGUUGAUUUUGUUAUUAUUGUCAUUAUCAUUUUAUUAUCAUCACACAUAAUUUGAAUUAUUGCUCUGAGAUGACACGGAUGAUGGAAUGGGUUGUUUGGGGCAGUGGCUCUGGAGCUCUGGAAAGCAGAGUGUCUCCACAGAUGGGGCCACAUCACCGCCCCACACCUCCCUGCUCCCAGCCCCAGCUGGCUCCGCCCGGCAGGCUCUGGCAGCCUGGAGCACGCGGGCUCAGGUGACAGGCAUGUGCCGCAGGAGUGUGGGCAGAGCUGGACGCCAGAACCCCAGGCGGGCACCUCCAGCCCAGCCCUUGACCUCAGUGACUCACAUGCCAGGCAUGAUGGCGGAGGUGGCAUGAGGUUCAGAGCUCCACAGGAGGGGCACAGUGGGCAGGCAGGGUGGCUGGGGACCCCGUGGGGGAUUACAGGUAGCUAGCUCUCAAGGGCUAGAUUUGGACAUCAGGACUUGGGUGGGGUCCUCACAAUUUGAGUCCGUACAGCGUCCAGGAUCGGGGUCUGCAGGUGGGACCAGAUGUUCUCUGAGCCCUCAGGUCUAUUUCCAGGAACUCGAUCCUGACCAACAUAGAUGUCUAGAGGGCCGGCAGGAAGUAGAGGGCAGGGUGAGUCCUGGGUGGUAGCAGUUGGUGAUGGAGACAUGCCUAAGUGGUGAAGUGGUUUGUUUUUUUUUUAACUUUAUAAAAAAUUUUAUUUGUUCUUUUUAGUUAUACAUGGUAGUAGAGUGCGUUUUGACAUAUCAUACAUGCAGUAUAACUUCCCAUUCUUGUGGAUGUGCAUGAGGUGGAGUUACACUGGUCAUGUAUUCAUAUAUGAACACAGGAAAGUGACGUCCAAUUCAUUCUACUAUCUUUCCCAUUCCCUUCCCCCUACUCCCCCCCUCUCUCAUCUGGUGAACCUCCACUCCUCCCUCCCUCACCCCAACACCUCCUGCCUGUUGUGGGUCAUUAUCUGCAUGUGAGAGAGAACACUGGCCUUUGAUUUGGGGGGACUGCCUAUUUCACUUAGCAUAAUAGUCCCCAGGUCCAUCCAUUUACUGGCAAAUGACAUAAUUUCAUUCUUCUUUAUGGAUGAAUAACAUUCCAUUGUGUCUAUAUGCUACAUUUUCUUUAUCCAUUCAUCUGUUGAAGGGCACUAGGUUGGUUCCACAGUUUGGCUCUUGUGAAUUGAGCUGCUGUAAACAUUGAUGUGGCUGUGUCCCUGUAGUAGGCUGAUUUUAAGUUCUGUGAGUAUAGACCAAGGAAUGGGAUAACUGGGUUAAAUGGUGGUUCAAUUCAAGUUUUCUGAGGAAUCUCCAUACUGCUUUCCAGAGUGGUUGCACCAACUUGAAGUUCCACCAACAAUAGAUGGUGAAGUUUUGAAUCCAUAUUCAUUGGGGUCAGGGCUUUUGUGGCCGAUGGAUGGACCUCAGCCCACAGAGUAGGGCGAGACAAGGGCGUGGAGAACAGUUUGACUGAAUGUCAGGACCAGGAUGUGACCCCAGAGAGGCAGAGGCCAGGUUGAAUGGGUGUAGGGUACUCUCUAUGGCCAGGGAAAUGGGACUUAGGUUGGCAGCCACCUUGGCCACCUGAGUUGGGUUCAGCUCAGAUUGGAGUGAUCUGUAACGCAGAGCAGGCUGAGGGUGACCCCCUGGUGGAUACGCGAAGUGUGUGUGUGUUCCUGCAGGAGAAGCAGAGGACCAAGUGGAGGUGACAGCCACAAGCAGAAGGAGAGCCCAAAGCCACCUGGGUGGCCCCAGGACGGCUUCCCAGAAGAGGCUACCAGUUCCACCUGUGUGCCCCAACCCUGCCCCUGCCCUGAGGUCCAGAGGGGCACCCAGGGAGGGCCUCCACAGGUCCUGUUCUUCCUUUCUGAGUGACUGCCUUAAAAUAACAUUCUCAUGGCCAUUUGUCUACCCCCAGUUCCUUCCUUCUCUGGUUUCCACUUUUACACCACACCAGGAGUUUUUCUGUGAACACAACUCCUAUUUGAUUAUUCUCCAGCUCAGAAGCCUUCCAUGGCUCCCUACUGCUCAUGGAAGGAAUCUUCUUAACUUUUCAUCUAAGGUUCCCUGCAAUAUGACCUCUGCUUGAAGACCCUCUUCAAGCUUCUACCCAUGCUGAAAAUAGUGGAGAAUUGGCCAUUUAUCCUAAAUUCUACAAAGAUCCUGCCCUGUGCUUUGGAUUAGGCUCUGCCAGGAAGCUUUGGUGUCUUUGCCUUCCUUCUGAAGCCAGGCCUGGCCUCCCAGGGCCUGCUCACAUGCCCUUCACCCGCCAAUCGAGGGCUUCCUGCCUGCAGGGGGUUCUUCCUCCCCCUCACUGGGCUAUUGCCUUGUCCUGGGUGCUACAUUAGUAUGUAUUCUUAACAUUUUUGUUCAUUAUUCUCUCUCCCUAAACAGAAUUCAAGGGAGCUAAAUCUAAGAUGGAGAGUGUCCUGCCCCGCCUUGCUCUUCCCCCACACGAGGACCUUGUCCUCCUCCCUUCGUGUUCUCGUUCUGGCUGGGGGACUUGUCCAGCUAUUCUCUGCCUGGUGAACCCCAGAGAAGCUCCCCCAGGGUUUCAAGAGGCACCCAAGCUCUCUCCAUGGCGCUGUCCCACCCACAGCUCUCUGCGCGUCUGAAUUGGCCCUCUCCUGGCUGCUGGUCUUCCUGCCGGGCCCUUGGCUCCCAUGUGCAGAGCCUGGGGCUUCCAGCUGCUGUAGCCCUGCUGCCCAGGAAGGACCAUGCAGGAGGCCCCAGAUGUGUUGGCUGAAGGCAAACCCAGAGCUGGGGAGAUGGGGGCAAAGCUGCAUACACCUCCAGCCACAGCCACUGGGCGCUGGUGGGCGGAGGGCAGUGUGUGGGAAGGUGCGUGGUGCAAGGUCGGGCAGCCAUGGCUGAACACCAUCUCUGCUCCCAGCCAGUUAGCUCAGCCCUGGAAAAUCACCACAGUGUCCUCAUUCUGCAGAGUCUGGAUAAGACUCCAGGGAUCAGGGGGAAGAGGAGAAGAGGGGCGUGCAGGCCAGCUCCGUCCCAUCUCCCAGUGGGGAAUCCAUCAGCUCACAGCCACCGAGUCGGAGGCCCGCAGCAGGUCCCAGCUGGAGAUGGCAGUGCCUCAGAAAGACCUUGGCUGUGGGUGCCAGGAUGUGAUGCUUCCAGAACUCUCCAUGUUCCCUCAUCUCUGCCAAUUCACAGCCCGGCUUUACUGUCCCCUGCACACUGACUUUCUCCAUGGCAGCCAGACCACAAUGUGAGGUUCCUGCAGGGAGGAGGCCCCCGGGGUGGAAGCGGGUGAGGAUUUUGGGGAAGGCUGCCAGCCCAGGUCUGGUGGUCAGCCCCAGCCACUUCUGGUCAGCAGGGCAUUUGAGGGGGCAGGGGCUGGGUCUCCCUGCAGUCCUAUGAUGCAACAACCCCUGGAAGGUGCGGCAGCUCUUCCCCUGGCUUGGGAAGUGGAAAAUCCCAGGGAGGGGCCACGGAGGCACGGAUGCUGCUUGGUGAACACAGGUGUGCCGGCAGGGGCAGAAACAGCCCCCAGGCCCCGGCGCCAGCAGAGAGCGCCAGGCUGUGCCUUGCAGUCCCGCUGCCCACUUCCCUGGUGGCCGGUCUUGAUCCGGAGCUGUGCAAGGGAUGAGAAUCCUGAGGAGCGUCAGCCCUUCCUGGCUAAGUCGACACCUCCUGGAGCUGCCACUUGAGCUCUUCCAAGGUCCACACCUUACAGUCUCUGCCUGACCCGUGUCCCUACCCCCACAGCCCGCGUGGUCCCUGUCUGGGUUGGGUGUCCCUCCCUGGACCACAUGCCUCUGGACCCAGAGUCAGGCAGGAAGGUGAUAAAAGAGCAGCUUCUGCAAGCACCUGAGCCGAGGUGGUUUCUUGGGACAGGAAGGCUACGACGGUGUCACCUCAAUCAUCAUUCACACGUUAUCCAUUAAAGUGAUAAAGUGGGGGAAACGUGGGCGAGGACCUUGUAUCAAAGAGAAGGACGCCAAACCUGUGGGUCACGAGCAACCAUGAACUUGUCCUUCUGGGGCACGGCACAUGGCUCUCUGGGUCCCAAGGACCACAGCCAGUCCUAUAUCCUCAGUGUGAACGUGAGCACCUGCCACCCCCACACUCCGCCACAGGCUUCAGGUAGGGGACCGUGUCCAGUACAGCCCUGCCCCCAGGUGUGCCUGUCACAGCAAGAGUGCCCACGCACACUGGGGCUGUGUGUGAGCAGCACCCCUCCUGGGUCCCCCCUCCGUCUCCUCCGGGCAAUCAGGGCAGCUGUCCCCGUCCCUACGGCAGACAUCUUCCACGCUUCUGGCUACGGUGCUCUUUAAAUCCACUCACAAACCUCUCUCUGGCACCAGCCGUGUGCCAGCACCGUGCCUGCCCCUGCGGAGCUGAGUCUGGAGUGAGGGAGAAUAGAAAGUCACCACAUUGUCCCUGUGAGGCUAAGUAUUUGGAUGCUGGAUGCUGGGAGGUGCCUACAUCCCUCUGAGGGCUUCUCCUUGGCCUUCCCAUACAUUGUAUGGCUCUUCUUUUCCAGUCUCCCACAUCCCCUUUCCCAGUGUUGGAGUGUGUGCCUUCCCCCCAGGGCUGAAUUCUUUCCAGACUUUGGGAGAACCUGGGCAUCCUGGCUUGGGCCUUCUGCUCUGACCUGGAGCUGCUCCGUUUUGGACGAAGGAACUGGUUCCCAGAGCUGCCAGCUGCUAUUCCUCACACCUGCCCGCCCCCUGCCCCUUCCCAUACCAGAGGACACCAGGCAGGAGUCUGGCAAGAACGACCCGCCCAGACACCCCAGGGCCUCUGUGAUCACCCAGAGAGCUCCGCCCGUGACGCCCGAGUCCUCCAGAGGCAGACGGUGCCAGGAAAGCAAAGAUCCUGAGGCUUGAUGCCACACCAACCCGGCUGUGAGUCCUGGCUGCAGUCCUGAUUGGCUGGAUGUGUCUGAACAGCAUGUUUAGCUUCUCCUCAACCGUCAGCCUUCCUGAAAAUGGACACCAUGUACCCUACAGGGCUGCCAGGAAGAGUGAUUAUGUAAAUAUUGAGUUGAAGGCUCCAAGGCUAUUUUUACCAAUAAUAGCCAAGUGGAUUCUCACGGCCUCUUAGGCUUGUUGUGGAGAUCAAUGAGGCCAUUUGAAUGUAUUCGGUGGUUUUGUUCUUGGCUUGUAUCCCUUGAAUCUUGUACAUGAUGGUAAAUAAUUAUCUGUUGAAUAAAUGAAUGAGUAAGUA